Molecule: non-coding RNA, 1807 nt
Organism: Callithrix jacchus (white-tufted-ear marmoset)
Lineage: Eukaryota; Metazoa; Chordata; Mammalia; Primates; Cebidae
Source: RefSeq, a predicted model, not a curated record
AGAGAAAGAGGGGGGAUGGCGGAAGCCAGAGCUCGCGGAGGAGCAGCGGCGGGGGUCGAGGCCAGAGCUCGCGAUCCACCGCUAGCGCACUGUGCACAUCCGUGCCACCCUCGCUCAGCCCUUGGCCCACAGGAUGGACGGCGGAUCCGGGGGCCUGGGGUCUGGGGACAACGCCCCGACCACUGAGGCUCUUUUCGUGGCACUGGGCGUGGGCGUGACGGUGCUUAGCCAUCCGCUGCUCUACAUGAAGCUGCUCAUCCAGGUGUGUCAUGAGCCGAUGCCCCCUACCCUUGGGACCAAUGUGCUGGGGAGGAAGGUCCUCUAUCUGCCAAGCUUCUUCACCUACGCCAAGUACAUUGUGCAAGUGGAUGGUAAGAUAGGGCUGUUCCAAGGCCUGAGCCCCUGGCUGAUGUCCAACUCUCUCUCCACUGUGACCCGGGGUAGCAUGAAGGUUUUCCCUACAGAUGAGAUCGAGCAGAUUUCCAGCAAGGAUGACAUGAAGACUUCCCUGAAGAAAGUUGUGAAGGAGACCUCCUAUGAGAUGAUGAUGCAGUGCGUGUCCCGCAUGUUGGCCCACCCACUGCAUGUCAUUUCAAUGCGCUGCAUGGUUCAGUUUGUGGAACGGGAGGCCAAGUACGGUGGUGUGCUGACCUCCAUUGGGAAGAUUUUCAAAGAGGAAGGGCUGCUGGGAUUCUUUGUUGGAUUAAUCCCUCACCUCCUGGGCGAUGUGGUUUUCUUGUGGGGCUGUAACCUGCUGGCCCACUUCAUCAAUGCCUACCUGGUAGAUGACAGCUUCAGCCAGGCCCUGGCUAUCCCGAGCUAUACCAAGUUCCUGAUGGGGAUCACAGUGAGCAUACUGACCUAUACCCCUUCCUGCUAGUUGGCGACCUCUUGGCUGUGAACAACUGCAGGCUGCAGGCUGGGCUCCCACCUUACUCCCCGGUGUUCGAAUCCUGGAUUCACUGCUGGAAGUACCUGAGUGUGCAAGGCCAGCUCUUCCAAGACUCCAGCCUGCUUUUCCACCAGGUGUCAUCAGGAUCAUGUUUUGCCCUGGAGUAACCUGAAUCAUCUAAAAAACAUGGUCUCAACCUGGCCAAGGUGGGUGAGGCCCGACCAUCUUAGGACACCUGUAAGACGACUCCAACCCAGCAACAACCAGAUAUGCUUCAGCCCAGCCGGGCUUCAGUUUCCAUAUUUGCCGUGUGUCUGUCCAGAUGUGGGGUUUGACGGGGGUGGGGCUACACACAGUGGAUUGGGUCACCUGCCAGACCUGGGGAAGCUGGGGUGAGGUGGGGAGUUAGCAGACUCCCCACACCUCCCAGAUCUGCUGAGUCCGUCUUAUUCAGAGGGCCAGAGAAUGGCUUGUGGGGGCCCAGGUUGGAUGGGGAAAGGCUAAUGGAGUCAGACCCCACCCCAUCUACCCCUCCAGUCAGCCCAGUACCCAUCCUGCAGCUCAGCUGGGAGCAUCAUUCUGCUGCUUUGUAAAUAGGUUGGAUCCCCUGGCACAUGGCCACCAUCAUGUCUAGGCCUAUGCUAGGAGGCGAAUGCCGGGCUCUGCCUGCGUUUUCUCAACACUAAUGAUAUGAGGGCAGCACCUGCCUCUGAAUGGGAAAUCAUGUGACUACUCAGAAUGUGUCCUCCUCAUCUAAUGCUCAUCUGUUGAAUGGUGAUACCUCGUGCGCAGGAUCUGGUUACCUGUGCAGUUGUGAAUGCCCAGAGGUUGGGCAGAUCAGUGUCUCUAGUCCUAUGCAAUUUUAAAGUUCAUAGUAAGAUGUGACCCCAUCUCCCACAGAUAAAUGUAUUGGUG